This 244-nucleotide long non-coding RNA is filed under the name Homo sapiens (human). RNAcentral's name for it is "non-protein coding lnc-CADM1-4:7". The record is from RNAcentral. Lineage: Eukaryota; Metazoa; Chordata; Mammalia; Primates; Hominidae.
CCUGACUCCUGCUCUGAUACUUGCCUCACUGGAACCGUCAUCCCCUCUCAUGUGGCAAAUGCAGCUGGGUAUGUGGUCAGUGCAACCUGUACUUCUACAGCCACCAGCCUGCAGGCUGGACCCCAUUAGAGUGAGGAACGGAACCCCUGCUAGCCAGCCUCAGGGUGACAAAACUGAGGCUCAGAGGCCAAUGGCCUUGUUCAAGGUCACACGCCCACUAAAUGAGAGACCCGGAGACCUGGCA